RNAcentral lists this ribosomal RNA (497 nucleotides) under uncultured bacterium. Its description in RNAcentral is "partial 16S ribosomal RNA". It matches the Rfam family "Bacterial small subunit ribosomal RNA", at positions 28 to 507 of the family's 1533-position model. The record is from RNAcentral.
GAUGAACGCUGGCGGCGUGCCUAAUACAUGCAAGUCGAGCGAACGGACGAGAAGCUUGCUUCUCUGAUGUUAGCGGCGGACGGGUGAGUAACACGUGGAUAACCUACCUAUAAGACUGGGAUAACUUCGGGAAACCGUAGCUAAUACCGGAUAAUAUUUUGAACCGCAUGGUUCAAAAGUGAAAGACGGUCUUGCUGUCUCUUUUAGAUGGAUCCGCGCUGCAUUAGCUAGUUGGUAAGGUAACGGCUUACCAAGGCAACGAUGCAUAGCCGACCUGAGAGGGUGAUCGGCCACACUGGAACUGAGACACGGUCCAGACUCCUACGGGAGGCAGCAGUAGGGAAUCUUCCGCAAUGGGCGAAAGCCUGACGGAGCAACGCCGCGUGAGUGAUGAAGGUCUUCGGAUCGUAAAACUCUGUUAUUAGGGAAGAACAUAUGUGUAAGUAACUGUGCACAUCUUGACGGUACCUAAUCAGAAAGCCACGGCUAACUACGUG